This is a long non-coding RNA of Colletes gigas, 1178 nucleotides long. RefSeq lists it as uncharacterized. NCBI's taxonomy places the organism in Eukaryota, Metazoa, Arthropoda, Insecta, Hymenoptera, Colletidae. The record is from RefSeq and is a predicted model, not a curated record. The transcript has 3 exons.
UACGAUGCAACGUUGCAUGUAACGUCUAUUCUAUAUAAUCUGCGCUUGAGUGUCGAUAUUUGAUAAUCGUCGUCGAUAUAAACGUGGUUUUCAGUGCUGAUAUGUACGUCGAAUCGAAAUAAUGUGAAUAAUGUGAAAUAAUCGUGGUGUGCCGGAAAGGCGGGAAGGGGCUAUUGCGUAAUGCGCAAAAUCCCGCCAUUUUAGUAACCCGAUCACGGUUUUGGAGGAAAUACUUCGCGAUGAUCGACAAGGAUCCGCGAGGAUAUUACACAAGCUUUAUUGGUGUCAGUUUCUUAUAACAAACUCUAUGGACAGCCACCUAUUGGAUCAGAUGACGAAUAAAUCCCAUAAAACGAUCGAAAGUGGAAAGAAGAGUAAGUCCCAACCAAGAAACUUUGUCGUAACUUUCGUCGUCCGGAUCGUUUUUAUCCGGACACUGGAUAUCCUGUAGCUGCCUUAUUCUUUCGAAGAGCUCCUGCUGGGCACAGAAGAAUGAGGAACAGAAAUAAACACGUUUAUAUAGUCCUCCCACGAGGAAACAUUGUCAUGAAUAGACUACAUGAAAGGGAAGGGAAAAUACACUAAUAAUUACGGUAAUAAAGGAGAACAGUGACAAUCGUCGGGACUUUCUAUACAUAUUUUUACAAUACUCUUAACUACACAGGCAUUAGAAAAACUGAAAUUAAAAGAAUAACACAAGUCAAAUAAAAGCGAAAAUAAUACAUGAAAAACUGUUUGCUAAUUAUAUAACAACGUUACAAUGUACAAUACAAAAAAUUUUAUACAAUGAAAAUUAUAGUUAAACGCAUAAUAAACUGAAAUGUAAUGAAGAUGAUUAAAGACAGAAUUUCAUGGUACAAUAUAUAAGUAUUUAUUAUAUUAAUAUGUACUUAUGCUAAGUAAUUAUUAAUUAUAGUAGCAUUUAAUUUUAUAAUUACAAUACUUUCGUUUAAAUAUUAUAAGAGAGAAAGAGAGAGAAAAAAGAAACGGUUUUAGACAUAUUAUAACUGUGUUUGAAAUAAUUUAAAUAUAUGUAUCUUAAAUGCAACAUUUCUAUGGAAGCUCAGAAAUAAAAAUAAAAUACAUAUAUGUAGAAGAGUUUGAAAAUUAUUUUAAAUGUAGUUAUUCUAUAUUAUAUGAAUUUGUAUACCUGGCUAAUUACCACUCUUCGUGUUUCG